UGAGGUCAUCGCUCGCUGUCGUCAGUGCUAGGAACCUGCGCCCGGCUGAGCUGAGCGAGGCGAGAGGAGAAAGCGAGGCCCGGGGACGGGACUGAGAGCUCUGAAAGGAGGGAGGCGGCUCCCGAGUACUCCGCGCCAGGCAGGCCCCGACUUCGCCUCUUCGCCCAUUUUUAAGGCUCGAGUUAGAGGCCACCUCCUCCGAGAAGCCUUCGGUGACACCACCUCUCCCAGACGGUUCCCCUUUCUGAUUCCCACAGCAUUUUCCAACCAUUCACGCCGUCUUCCUUCCUCAUUGUGGAUUGGACCUUCUCGAGAAAGAAUCUGGCCUCAGUCUCCCUCUUCCACACUCAGGGACCGCCACCAUCACCGGCACUCGUCCUGGUUGCUCAUCUCGCCCACUUGCACAGCCCACCUGUGUGGCCGACUCAGGAUUGACCCACCUGCUCUCUUCAGGCCAUAUUCCCACGCAGAAGUGGGUCCCACUCCUCAGGCCUCUGUGCUGGCCCUGUCUGUGGGGUUAGCAUGCAGCCCUGCUCUCCAUUUCCAGCUCAGAAGCAACUGGAUCGUUACCUCAUUGGUGACAACUUGACUGUGCUGCCCAGAGCUGAUAAGAAACAUCACCCGGGGAAGACCAGCUGCCUCUUCCUUGCUUCCUAAUCAGGGUGGAAAUACUGCUAAAUAUAUCACAACUCUUUGCAAGCAUCGUUGGGUAAUGAUCGGGACAUCUUUGUGGGUUCCCUAUCAUUUUCUCACAAAGUUGAACCUUUCAAGGUCAGUUCUAGGCCAGCCAGUCUGGGAGUCAUUCUUUAGAAUCAGAAGAGAAUUUAAGAAGAGGAGAAGAUAAGAUUGUCUCUAAAACCUGCUAAUGAGAACUACAGGAAGGUGGGGAUGCUAGCUAUUUUUAAUAUUUCUCGUUUGAACCCCUUCCUCCACCCCAGAAUGAACUGAGAGUAGGGACAGAAAUAGAUAAUGCAAAGAUGGUUAGGGUUGAGGGUAAGCAGAAAACUACCCAUCUAGACCGAAGGAAGGCUUGCUAACAUAUCAGUAAGCAAACAGCUUUCUAAUCUGCAGGUAACAAGUUUUACAUCCCUGAGGACACUUUUUGAGAUGGGACUUUGUUUGUUUGUUUGUUUAUUUGUUGUUUUUUGUUUUUUUGAGACAGAGUCUCGCUCUGUCUCCCAGGCUGGAGUGCAGUGGCAUGGUCUCGGCUCACUGCAACCUUCACCUCCCGGGAUCAAACGAUUCUCCUGCCUCAGCCUCCUGAAUAGCUGGGAUUACAGGUGCAUGCCACCAUGCCCAGCUAUUUGUGUGUGUGUGUGUGUGUGUGUAUUUUUAGUAGAGAUGGGGUUUUAUCAUGUUGGUCAGGCUGAUCUCAAACUCCUGACCUCGUGAUCUGCCCUCCUCAGCCUCCCAAAGUGCUGGGAUUACAGGCGUGAGCCACCAGGCCCAGCCUGGGGCUUUUUGAGACACUAUUGAAGGCUGAGGAAGAAUCUGGAAGCUAAAGAGUAACCCAUUCCACCACCUGCUCUGAAGAUAGAAGAAGCAAAAAAAAGAUUAAAUUGUACAAAAAGCACUUAAAUUAGACAACAGAAGAAUUUCCUGAUACAAAGUGGGUGUCUAAGAUGCGUUAAACAAGAUGCCUGCUCCAGCCAGGACUCAGACACUCCUGGGUGGAGAGCAUCUUCAUAGUUUGGGAUAAAAGUGACUAUACAGAGUGGUGGAGUGAAGGCUGCAGGCCCCUCCCCAAGGUGGCAUCUAACCCCGGAGGUAUCAGGACCUCAGAGGCUACCCACAUGAUUUCCAGCUGAUGAGCAGAAAUAGCUGUGGCAGGUGCAGGCUUCACUUGCUGCCACCAACAUGGGAGCUCACCAAACACCCAGUGGCCAAAAGAACCAGGGUCUCUCUAAGCCCUGGGCUCACCGCCAGGCAAGCUUGGGUGCUUGGGAGGGCCAUGGUUCUUCACAGGGCAGCUCUGGAUUUCUUCUCAAUUUACUCAACUCUCUCUCUUGAAUCCCAUCUGUGCAGCUUAGAAGUCACAAAUUAGAACCCCCCAAGGCAAAGCUGACCAUAGAUACAAAUGGUUUUGUCUGUAUAGUGUUUAAGCACUUAAAAAAUUCAUUGUGAACAUUUAAUAAUUAGUGUCAAAAUGAAAAUAUCUAUAGUUUGUCUGUAAAAACCAGAAGAUCUGUUAACACUGAUCCCACACUUCUAUUUGGCAAUGACUGGCCCCUAAGACAGGGGGUAUGUCCUCUAGCUCACCACAGUCUCCACCUUUACCUACUGCAUCCCUGCUGAGACAAAGUGGUACUUGCCAUUUAUUAAGGAUGAAUGCUGCUUUUUUUGUAAAUUAUACUUAAUCCUCAUUUGCAUUACCUGCCUUCAUUCUGGAGGUAUUUGAGUUUGCAUCUCCUGAUAAAGAAUAAAUCUCAAAAUUGUCAUCUCUAACUUC
Long non-coding RNA from Gorilla gorilla gorilla (western lowland gorilla), 2449 nucleotides. RefSeq lists it as uncharacterized. The transcript has 4 exons. Lineage: Eukaryota; Metazoa; Chordata; Mammalia; Primates; Hominidae. The record is from RefSeq and is a predicted model, not a curated record.